Magnolia sinica is the source of this 1260-nucleotide RNA transcript. RefSeq lists it as uncharacterized. The record is from RefSeq and is a predicted model, not a curated record. The transcript is spliced from 5 exons. Lineage: Eukaryota; Viridiplantae; Streptophyta; Magnoliopsida; Magnoliales; Magnoliaceae.
UCAAGGAUGCAGAUCUAUUCUUAUGGGAUAAAUUCCAGAUAUAGGGUUUGUAUGUAGAUCUGUUGUUUAUUCAACUUCUAUAGUUCUCUUAUUUGUUGAUUGUGGAGGUACUGGUUUUUUUUUUUGUAAGAAUGAUUGAUAAAUUUAUGAUGGCUAUUUCUCCUAUUACUUUGGUGUUAACAUUGUUUGAUUUUAUCUGUAGCCCAACUUGUUUUGCUUGCAGGAACUUACGAGAUCCCUAUCUUGUGGGGACACUGGCACCUGAGCUAGGAAGCUUUGUCGCAUUAGAUCUUUGUAAGCGAUAGACUCAUCAUAUUGAAUGCACUCAUAAUAAAAGUUUUAAACUACCAUUUGGAAACUGCUAGGUAAUGGCACAUAUCGGUGAUGAAUGACACACUACUCGAUACACAUUUGGAGCCUUGCCCCUAAUGCCUUUCUUUUAACAGUACUUUGGCCUUAGAGAGGAACAAGUGCACUCAUCAUCAUAUAAACCAAUGAUGGCCAUAAAUAUCUUAAGCCAAAUCUACAACCAGAACAUAUUGCACCUUGGUUGAAGGAGUAUACGGAUGGAAACAUAAAGACAUGUUUGUGAAAUCUGUGCCUAUUCCUGAAGUUAACAAUGACCAUGUCAAGAUUGUUGUUGCUAACAGCCUCCAUGAUGUGGUUUUCAACUCUGAAAAAAAUGGUUGGCAAGGGAAGAGAUGUUGGACUGAAUCAGAUUACUUUGUUUGAGGGGAAAGUGGCUGGUGGUAAUGGUGAACAAGUUAACUUAGUAGGGAUGUUUCUAGGCUUCUGUGUGCAGAUUCGUUUUGGGGUUCAUCUUUGGUUAUAUUUUAGGGAAGAAACUUCUUGGGUAUGGCUAAUUAUCUCAUUUCUUGAUCAUUCUGUGAAAAUCUUGCAAAAUUUCGGGAGUUCUUGUUUGUAUUUGUAAACUUCUAAUGGUUGGAUAAAAAUGUAACUGCAUGAAAACAUUCAAACCUGAAAUGUAUGUUCUUCUCAAAUAUUCCAUGUUUCUCUCUCUCAGAUGGUUGGAAAUUUUGGAUCCAAGUGAUUCUUCACGGACAUAUAUGAAAAAAAAAAGUUGAGAUCUACCAAGUGUACCAUCUAUUUUUACGAUCAUAUUGUUCUUUUAUCAUUUAUGAAAACUGUCCAUUUUGCAGGCCAUUGAUCAGAUGGUCAAGAUCAUCCAGUAAGCUUGGUUUAAUGUUAGUGAUCCAUGAAGAUGAUUAUUAUCCACGUGUCCAAUACAACCCAUUUGUA